Molecule: non-coding RNA, 46 nt
Organism: Cathartes aura (turkey vulture)
Lineage: Eukaryota; Metazoa; Chordata; Aves; Accipitriformes; Cathartidae
Source: Rfam
GAAGUGGUUUUUUUUAAAACCACAAUAAAUUUUAUAUUUGUUACUG